CACAGCCUGGCAAGCCCAGGCAUGGAGUGGGAGGUUCAUGCAAUCCACUCAUGGAGAGCAAGCACAUGAUGCUGGGCAUUGUACUGGGCAUGAUCAUGAGCAUGGACACAAGUGUGGUAAUGGGUGGUGUCUAAUAUUUUUUGAGGCUUGGUGUUCCUUGGAGAAAUUUUAACUCUCUAACCAUCCUUCUCAUUGUGCAUUGUGCAUGAGUUAAAUGCUUUGGUGUGUCUGGUUAAACUGUAACUUGGGUUACGCCCAUAUACAGUGCUCCAAUUUGUAAGAAUACAGAAUGUAUUUAAAGCGUCACCCAUAACUAAAACAUUGGACACAGUCUGCAGGGACUGCCUGAUACUGGACCCUCUUUCUUUACACAUUUCGACUGCAGUAAGGCCUCCCAUAGGCACAGUAUGAACCCCAACCGUCCAAAGCAACCAGGACCGGGUGGGCCGCCUGGCAGCACACCCCCACCACCAGGCAAGCCAGGGCAUGGAGGAGGAGGUCCGUGCAAUCCACCUGGGCCCCAUGGAGGGCCUGGGCAUGGGCCUGGGCCUGGGCAUGGGCCUGGGCAUGGGCCUGGUCAAGGUCAUGGGCCUGGUCAUGGGCCUGGUCAUGGGCCUGGGCACGGUCAUGGGCCUGGGCAUUGUCACUGACAUGGCAGACAUGGGAAAAAGCAUGUAAAAGCAUUCUGGAAGCAGCUCUGGCAGUGACUCUGAUUAGAGAGAGCAUGAAGAAACUCCACACACAUGGAAGCUGCACCCUGAUAUGUGGUCCACACUGUACAGCGAUAAUUUCUCCAUUUCAGUGUAUCAAAAUUCACCAAAUAAAUAAUCUAUGACUUCAGCAUAGCAUCAAACCUGGUAUUAAGGCACAUGAUCUACUAACUAUGCAACUUUGAAUCUAGCCUUUUUAAAUGUUAUGAUAAAUGUUAUUGUUUUCAGGUGCAGGAGAUAACUGACUAAUACUCUGUCCAGUUUGUUUACAUGUCAUUGCUGUCCAAAAAAGGUAAAUUUACAGGAUAAUAUAAGAAAAAAAAUCUUAACUUUUAAUUUAAGUUAAUGUAAAGAGAUUUUAUUUUUAUUCCAAGCUAUUUUGGAGCAUUUCUAUUGGUUUAUUCAUCAAUCAUUUUUCCCACAAUAUAAAGCACACCUGCUGUGCUCAAAUGAAAAUGAAAUCUGAAAAAAAAGUUUUUUGGGCAGCAGCGAUAUGUUCCUUGCAUUAUACACCACACAAUGUAGAUUGAACCAGAUAAAAUCUGUACGUAUUGGGAUUAUCAUGAACUGUCUCACUUAGCUAUAUCAGUAAGACAUUAUUUCGAGGAGUAAAAGGGUUUCUUCAUUCA
Molecule: long non-coding RNA, 1339 nt
Organism: Colossoma macropomum (tambaqui)
Lineage: Eukaryota; Metazoa; Chordata; Actinopteri; Characiformes; Serrasalmidae
Exons: 4
Source: RefSeq, a predicted model, not a curated record